RNAcentral lists this ribosomal RNA (460 nucleotides) under uncultured bacterium. RNAcentral describes it as "partial 16S ribosomal RNA". It matches the Rfam family "Bacterial small subunit ribosomal RNA", at positions 338 to 795 of the family's 1533-position model. The record is from RNAcentral.
CCUACGGGGGGCUGCAGUGAGGAAUAUUGGUCAAUGGGCGCAAGCCUGAACCAGCCAAGUCGCGUGAGGGAUGACGGUCCUAUGGAUUGUAAACCUCUUUUGUCGGGGAGCAAGGCCCGCCACGUGUGGCUGGAAGGAGAGUACCCGAAGAAAAAGCAUCGGCUAACUCCGUGCCAGCAGCCGCGGUAAUACGGAGGAUGCGAGCGUUAUCCGGAUUUAUUGGUUUUAAAGGGUGCGUAGGCGGAAGGUUAAGUCAGCGGUCAAAUGGCGGUGCUCAACACCGGCCUGCCGUUGAAACUGGUCGUCUUGAGUGAGCGAGAGGUAUGCGGAAUGCGUGGUGUAGCGGUGAAAUGCAUAGAGAUCACGCAGAACUCCGAUUGCGAAGGCAGCAUACCGGCGUUCAACUGACGCUGAGGCACGAAAGCGUGGGGAGCGAACAGGAUUAGAUACCCUAGUAGUC